This 253-nucleotide ribosomal RNA is filed under the name uncultured bacterium. RNAcentral's name for it is "partial 16S ribosomal RNA". It matches the Rfam family "Bacterial small subunit ribosomal RNA", at positions 524 to 776 of the family's 1533-position model. The record is from RNAcentral.
UACGUAGGGGGCAAGCGUUGUCCGGAAUCAUUGGGCGUAAAGCGCGUGUAGGCGGCCUUGUAAGUCCGUUCUGAAAGUCCGGGGCUCAACCCCGGGAGGCGGAUGGAUACUGCAAGGCUCGAGUCCGGAAGAGGCAAGUGGAAUUCCCGGUGUAGCGGUGAAAUGCGCAGAUAUCGGGAGGAACACCAAUGGCGAAGGCAGCUUGUUGGGACGGUACUGACGCUGAGACGCGAAAGCGUGGGGAGCAAACAGG